AGUCGUAACAAGGUUUCCGUAGGUGAACCUGCGGAAGGAUCAUUAAAAAAUACAUUACACAUUGUUUUUGCGAACAAAAAAAUAAAUUUUUUUAUUCGAAUUUCUUAAUAUCAAAACUUUCAACAACGGAUCUCUUGGUUCUCGCAUCGAUGAAGAACGCAGCGAAUUGCGAUACGUAGUAUGACUUGCAGACGUGAAUCAUCGAAUCUUUGAACGCACAUUGCGCCUCGAGGCAUUCCUCGAGGCAUGCCUGUUUGAGCGUCGCAUCCCCUCUAACCCCCGGUUAGGCGUUGCUCCGAAAUAUCAACCGCGCUGUCAAACACGUUUACAGCACGACAUUUCGCCCUCAAAUCAGGUAGGACUACCCGCUGAACUUAAGCAUAUCAA
This 387-nucleotide unclassified non-coding RNA is filed under the name Clavispora lusitaniae. RNAcentral describes it as "sequence contains 18S rRNA gene, ITS1, 5.8S rRNA gene, ITS2, 28S rRNA gene". The stretch from base 115 to 264 matches the Rfam family "5.8S ribosomal RNA". The record is from RNAcentral. Lineage: Eukaryota; Fungi; Ascomycota; Pichiomycetes; Serinales; Metschnikowiaceae.